CACUGCAUUCUGUGCAGUAUCCUAAGUCGAAUACAUAGACUUAGAGAAGCGAACCCGGAGAACUGAACCAUCUAAGUACCCGGAGGAAAAGAAAUCAACCGAGAUUCCGCAAGUAGCGGCGAGCGAACGCGGAGGAGCCUGUACGUGAUAACUGUCGAGAUAGAAGAACAAGCUGGGAAGCUUGACCAUAGCGGGUGACAGUCCCGUAUUCGAAAUCUCAAUAGUGGUACCAAGCGUACGAAAAGUAGGGCGGGACACGUGAAAUCCUGUCCGAAUAUGGGGGGACCAUCCUCCAAGGCUAAAUACUCAUCAUCGACCGAUAGUGAACCAGUACCGUGAGGGAAAGGCGAAAAGAACCCCGGGAGGGGAGUGAAACAGAACCUGAAACCUGAUGCAUACAAACAGUGGGAGCGCCCUAGUGGUGUGACUGCGUACCUUUUGUAUAAUGGGUCAACGACUUACAUUCAGUAGCGAGCUUAACCGGAUAGGGGAGGCGUAGGGAAACCGAGUCUUAAUAGGGCGAUGAGUUGCUGGGUGUAGACCCGAAACCGAGUGAUCUAUCCAUGGCCAGGUUGAAGGUGCCGUAACAGGUACUGGAGGACCGAACCCACGCAUGUUGCAAAAUGCGGGGAUGAGCUGUGGAUAGGGGUGAAAGGCUAAACAAACUCGGAGAUAGCUGGUUCUCCCCGAAAACUAUUUAGGUAGUGCCUCGAGCAAGACACUGAUGGGGGUAAAGCACUGUUAUGGCUAGGGGGUUAUUGCAACUUACCAACCCAUGGCAAACUCAGAAUACCAUCAAGUGGUUCCUCGGGAGACAGACAGCGGGUGCUAACGUCCGUUGUCAAGAGGGAAACAACCCAGACCGCCGGCUAAGGUCCCAAAUGAUAGAUUAAGUGGUAAACGAAGUGGGAAGGCCCAGACAGCCAGGAUGUUGGCUUAGAAGCAGCCAUCAUUUAAAGAAAGCGUAAUAGCUCACUGGUCGAGUCGUCCUGCGCGGAAGAUGUAACGGGGCUCAAAUCUAUAACCGAAGCCGCGGAUACGUGCUUGCACGUAUGGUAGGGGAGCGUUCUGUAGGCCGAUGAAGGCGCAUUGUAAAGUGUGCUGGAGGUAUCAGAAGUGCGAAUGUUGACAUGAGUAGCGAUAAAGCGGGUGAAAAGCCCGCUCGCCGAAAGCCCAAGGUUUCCUACGCAACGUUCAUCGGCGUAGGGUGAGUCGGCCCCUAAGGCGAGGCAGAAAUGCGUAGUCGAUGGGAAACAGGUUAAUAUUCCUGUACUUGAUUCAAAUGCGAUGUGGGGACGGAGAAGGUUAGGUUGGCAAGCUGUUGGAAUAGCUUGUUUAAGCCGGUAGGUGGAAGACUUAGGCAAAUCCGGGUCUUCUUAACACCGAGAAGUGACGACGAGUGUCUACGGACACGAAGCAACCGAUACCACGCUUCCAGGAAAAGCCGCUAAGCUUCAGUUUGAAUCGAACCGUACCGCAAACCGACACAGGUGGGCAGGAUGAGAAUUCUAAGGCGCUUGAGAGAACUCGGGAGAAGGAACUCGGCAAAUUGAUACCGUAACUUCGGGAGAAGGUAUGCCCUCUAAGGUUAAGGACUUGCUCCGUAAGCCCCGGAGGGUCGCAGAGAAUAGGUGGCUGCGACUGUUUAUUAAAAACACAGCACUCUGCCAACACGAAAGUGGACGUAUAGGGUGUGACGCCUGCCCGGUGCCGGAAGGUUAAUUGAAGAUGUGAGAGCAUCGGAUCGAAGCCCCGGUAAACGGCGGCCGUAACUAUAACGGUCCUAAGGUAGCGAAAUUCCUUGUCGGGUAAGUUCCGACCCGCACGAAUGGCGUAACGAUGGCCACACUGUCUCCUCCCGAGACUCAGCGAAGUUGAAGUGGUUGUGAAGAUGCAAUCUACCCGCUGCUAGACGGAAAGACCCCGUGAACCUUUACUGUAGCUUUGCAUUGGACUUUGAAGUCACUUGUGUAGGAUAGGUGGGAGGCUUGGAAGCAGAGACGCCAGUUUCUGCGGAGCCGUCCUUGAAAUACCACCCUGGUGUCUUUGAGGUUCUAACCCAGACCCGUCAUCCGGGUCGGGGACCGUGCAUGGUAGGC
RNAcentral lists this ribosomal RNA (2099 nucleotides) under Neisseria lactamica. Its description in RNAcentral is "bacterial LSU rRNA". It matches the Rfam family "Bacterial large subunit ribosomal RNA", at positions 129 to 2266 of the family's 2925-position model. Lineage: Bacteria; Pseudomonadati; Pseudomonadota; Betaproteobacteria; Neisseriales; Neisseriaceae. The record is from RNAcentral.